Molecule: ribosomal RNA, 428 nt
Filed under: uncultured archaeon
Lineage: Archaea
Description: bacterial SSU rRNA
Rfam family: Archaeal small subunit ribosomal RNA
Source: RNAcentral
UACCAGCUCUCCGAGUGGUAGGGAUGAUUAUUGGGCUUAAAGCGUCCGUAGCCGGCUUAGCAAGUUUCCUGUUAAAUUCAGCGACCUAAUCGUUGAGCCGCGGGAAAUACUACUAGGCUAGGGGGCGGGAGAGGUCGACGGUACUUCUGGGGUAGGGGUGAAAUCCUAUAAUCCCGGGAGGACCACCAGUGGCGAAGGCUGUCGACUAGAACGCGCUCGACGGUGAGGGACGAAAGCUGGGGGAGCGAACCGGAUUAGAUACCCUGGUAGUCCCAGCUGUAAACGAUGCGGGCUAGGUGUUGGGGUGGCUACGUGCCACUUCAGUGCCGCAGGGAAGCCAUUAAGCCCGCCGCCUGGGGAGUACGGCCGCAAGGCUGAAACUUAAAGGAAUUGGCGGGGAGCACCACAAGGCGUGAAGCUUGCGGUUC